Molecule: long non-coding RNA, 1039 nt
Organism: Brachypodium distachyon (stiff brome)
Lineage: Eukaryota; Viridiplantae; Streptophyta; Magnoliopsida; Poales; Poaceae
Exons: 2
Source: RefSeq, a predicted model, not a curated record
UUAGAACAUUUCCAACAGAUGAUAUAAAAUAUGGUUUGUGUCCAAAAACCGUUUUUAGGGCACGGGCAGCAAAAAAGGCUCUCGAACAAAUAAUCUAUAGGUAUCCUGUGUCCAAUAAUUUUAAGGCAUGCCCUAAAAUUUCAACCCAAAUGAUGUAUAUUUGGGGCACUGAACACAGCAUGCAAAAAAAACCAACCGCCCGGUUUCUUCGUCUCCCGAUGCGCGCCAUUUCCUUCCUCUUCUCCCGCCUGCUCCGUCUCCUUCCUCCUCGACCGCCGCCGGCCAUGGAAGCCGUCGCCCCAACUCCCCCGACCCCGCCUGGGCCCGCCGCCGCCGCCCCGCCCCGCCCUCGAGCACCACCGGCUCGCCCCCGACCUCCAUCGGCCCGCCCCCAACGUCCACCGCCUCCGCGAACGCGCACUGGGCUAGGUGGGCGCCGCCAUGCACGGCCCGUGCAGCUACCGGCGGCCGCACCGGCGUCGUCCGACUCCCCCGACCAUGCCUGGCCCCUCCGCCGCCGCCGCCCCGCCCCCGAGCACCACUGGCCCGCCCCCGACCGCCGCCGGCUCUCUUCCUCUCCGACCGCUACGCUCCGCCGCUCUUCCUCCUCGAUUCGUCGCCGGCGAAGACCACCCGCUACGACGACUAGAAGGAGGGCGGCUGCCGCAGCUCCGCCCCGCUGCCCCUCCACCCCGACGAGCUUCCCGUUGCUGCUGCCGGCCCCGCCUCCGCCCGCUUCCCCGACGCGCCCCGCCGCUGCUGCCCGCCCAGCCCUGCCUCUGCUGGUGCUCUCCCUGGAGGCUUGCUCGUUGGAUUUAGGGAGGAAGAAGACAUAGUUGUGUUUCUGACAGGGCACGAAAAACUGCACCUAUUUUACAUCAUCCGUUGGAGAUGCUCUUAAGGUCUUGAGUUCGAGGAUUGAUCUUAACAUGAUUUUUUCAAUGUAUAUUUUUAGCACAUGGGCAUAGAGACACAAUGUAAUGUUCUUACAAGAUGGCGCAUUGAAUGUAGAGACAAUAUAUAGUGUCUUUAUGAAAUA